UGGGGAAUAUUGCACAAUGGGGGAAACCCUGAUGCAGCAACGCCGCGUGAGUGAUGACGGCCUUCGGGUUGUAAAGCUCUGUCUUCAGGGACGAUAAUGACGGUACCUGAGGAGGAAGCCACGGCUAACUACGUGCCAGCAGCCGCGGUAAUACGUAGGUGGCAAGCGUUGUCCGGAUUUACUGGGCGUAAAGGGAGCGUAGGCGGACUUUUAAGUGAGAUGUGAAAUACCCGGGCUCAACCUGGGUGCUGCAUUUCAAACUGGAAGUCUAGAGUGCAGGAGAGGAGAGUGGAAUUCCUAGUGUAGCGGUGAGAUGCGUAGAGAUUAGGAAGAACACCAGUGGCGAAGGCGACUCUCUGGACUGUAACUGACGCUGAGGCUCGAAAGCGUGGGGAGCAAACA
Molecule: ribosomal RNA, 402 nt
Filed under: uncultured bacterium
Lineage: Bacteria
Description: bacterial SSU rRNA
Rfam family: Bacterial small subunit ribosomal RNA
Source: RNAcentral